This 71-nucleotide transfer RNA is filed under the name Burkholderiales bacterium. Its description in RNAcentral is "tRNA-Gly". It matches the Rfam family "tRNA". From Rfam's summary of the family: Transfer RNA (tRNA) molecules are approximately 80 nucleotides in length. The record is from RNAcentral. Lineage: Bacteria; Pseudomonadati; Pseudomonadota; Betaproteobacteria; Burkholderiales.
GCGGGUGUAGUUCAAUGGUAGAAAGGCAGCUUCCCAAGCUGCAAACGAGGGUCCGAUGCCCUUGACCGGCU